RNAcentral lists this ribosomal RNA (250 nucleotides) under uncultured bacterium. RNAcentral's name for it is "partial 16S ribosomal RNA". It matches the Rfam family "Bacterial small subunit ribosomal RNA", at positions 355 to 602 of the family's 1533-position model. The record is from RNAcentral.
UGAGGAAUAUUGGUCAAUGGACGCAAGUCUGAACCAGCCACGUCGCGUGAAGGAAGACGGCCCUACGGGUUGUAAACUUCUUUUAUACGGGAAUAAAGUGCCCCACGCGUGGGGUUUUGCAAGUACCGUACGAAUAAGGAUCGGCUAACUCCGUGCCAGCAGCCGCGGUAAUACGGAGGAUCCGAGCGUUAUCCGGAUUUAUUGGGUUUAAAGGGUGCUCAGGCGGGGGAUUAAGUCGGCGGUGAAAUUU